Molecule: ribosomal RNA, 253 nt
Filed under: uncultured bacterium
Lineage: Bacteria
Description: partial 16S ribosomal RNA
Rfam family: Bacterial small subunit ribosomal RNA
Source: RNAcentral
UACAGAGGGUGCGAGCGUUAAUCGGAAUUACUGGGCGUAAAGCGCGCGUAGGCGGCUUUGCAAGUCGGGUGUGAAAUCCCCGGGCUUAACCUGGGAAUGGCAUUUGGGACUGCAAGGCUGGAGUUUGGCAGAGGAGACUGGAAUUCCUGGUGUAGCAGUGAAAUGCGUAGAUAUCAGGAGGAACACCGAUGGCGAAGGCAGGUCUCUGGGCUGAAACUGACGCUCAUGCACGAAAGCGUGGGGAGCAAACAGG